CCACGAAUAUGCUGGGUAGACUAUGGAUCCCUAGAAGUCAUAAAGAAGUACUGCACGUGUUACAAUUUACCAGUAUAAUGUGUUUUCACAAGUUAAAUUCAGCAGCACUUGUCGCUAUUUUUUCUAAACUGAUCCUUAUAUACAUGUAUUUAGGUUGCUGAACUGAAAUCCUUUCCCCUUUGUUGCUGUACCUCUGAGGUUAUCAAGGCUUAUAAUUUAGGAUUGACUUGGGUUUCAAUUAUCA
Non-coding RNA from Pelobates cultripes (western spadefoot toad), 244 nucleotides. The record is from the annotation of a GenBank genome assembly. Lineage: Eukaryota; Metazoa; Chordata; Amphibia; Anura; Pelobatidae.